RNAcentral lists this ribosomal RNA (403 nucleotides) under uncultured bacterium. RNAcentral describes it as "partial 16S ribosomal RNA". It matches the Rfam family "Bacterial small subunit ribosomal RNA", at positions 30 to 526 of the family's 1533-position model. The record is from RNAcentral.
AUUGAACGCUGGCGGCAGGCCUAACACAUGCAAGUCGAGCGAGCGGCGGACGGGUGAGUAAUGUAUGGGGACUGCCCGAUAGAGGGGGAUAAAUACUGGAAACGGGAGCUAAUACCGCAUACUAUCGGAUAACCCAUAUGGGAUUAGCUAGUAGGUGAGGUAAUGGCUCACCUAGGCGACGAUCACUAGCUGGUCUGAGAGGAUGAUCAGACACACUGGGACUGAGACACGGCCAAAACUCCUACGGUGGGAGUAGUGGGGAAUAUUGCACAAGGGGCGCAAGCCUGGUGCAGCCAUGCCGCGUGUAUGACGAAGGCCCUAGGGUUGUAAAGUACUUCCAGUCGGGAGGCGUUCCCGACAGAAGAAGCACCGUCCAACUCCGUGCCAGCAGCCGCGGUAAUUC